Molecule: ribosomal RNA, 505 nt
Filed under: uncultured bacterium
Lineage: Bacteria
Description: partial 16S ribosomal RNA
Rfam family: Bacterial small subunit ribosomal RNA
Source: RNAcentral
GAUGAACGCUAGCUACAGGCUUAACACAUGCAAGUCGAGGGGUAACGAGAGGAAAGCUUGCUUUCCUUGUCGACGACCGGCGCACGGGUGAGUAACGCGUAUCCAACCUGCCCCCAACUAGGGAAUAACCUUGCGAAAGUAAGACUAAUACCCUAUAAUUUCCUCAGAUGUCAUCUGACGAGGAAUAAAGAUUUAUCGGUUGUGGAUGGGGAUGCGUCUGAUUAGCUUGUUGGCGGGGUAACGGCCACCAAGGCAACGAUCAGUAGGGGUUCUGAGAGGAAGGUCCCCCACAUUGGAACUGAGACACGGUCCAAACUCCUACGGGAGGCAGCAGUGAGGAAUAUUGGUCAAUGGGCGGAAGCCUGAACCAGCCAAGUAGCGUGCAGGAUGACGGCCCUAUGGGUUGUAAACUGCUUUUAUACAGGAAUAAAGUUAGCCACGUGUGGUUAUUUGUAGGUACUGUAUGAGUAAGGACCGGCUAAUUCCGUGCCAGCCGCCGCGGUAA